UAAGAUAUGGUCGGGCCAUGCGGGAGACUGCGUGGGCGAGCUUACGCUUGGGAAAACCGUUCCGUAGGUGAACCUGCGGAAGGAUCAUUACCGAGAGCGGGCCUUCGGGCCUCCGCCAGUUCUCCGUCCACCAAGUUCUGACAUCCUUCGGCGUGCCCGCCCGGGGGCGCCGGGGGCCAACUGAUGUUCUCUUGCACGCUUUGCGGUCGGAGUGGGCUCUGAUAAUACGAACAAAACUUUCAACAACGGAUCUCUUGGUUCUGGCAACGAUGAAGAACGCAGCAAAAUGCGAUAAUUAAUGUGAAUUGCAGAUUUCAGUGAAUCAUCGAGUUUUUGAACGCACAUUGCGCCCCCUGGUAUUCCGGGGGGCAUGCCUGUCCGAGCGUCGUUGCGACCCUCGAGCCCGGCUCGGUCUUGGGCGCCCGUCUCCCGGGGCGCGCCCGAAAACGGUCGGCGGCCUCCCUGCGGUUCUGCUGGCGUAGCAGUGCUCCUCGCCCAGCGAAGCCCCCGGAGGCCUGCCCCGCCUUGUGGCGGCCGCCACGACACGUUGACCUCGGAUCACGUAGGAAUACCCG
Molecule: ribosomal RNA, 575 nt
Filed under: Strigula prasina
Lineage: Eukaryota; Fungi; Ascomycota; Dothideomycetes; Strigulales; Strigulaceae
Description: eukaryotic LSU rRNA
Rfam family: 5.8S ribosomal RNA (bases 235-388)
Source: RNAcentral